AAUCCAUGCAUUGGAGAUUUACACAACAAGUCCUUAAAACUUUUCCAAGCCUCGUACAAACUUUCAUCAUCUAGUUUCUUGAAAGUUGUCAAAUUAUUUUUUAGUUU
Hibiscus syriacus is the source of this 107-nucleotide small nucleolar RNA. NCBI's taxonomy places the organism in Eukaryota, Viridiplantae, Streptophyta, Magnoliopsida, Malvales, Malvaceae. The record is from RefSeq and is a predicted model, not a curated record.